Molecule: ribosomal RNA, 257 nt
Filed under: uncultured bacterium
Lineage: Bacteria
Description: partial 16S ribosomal RNA
Rfam family: Bacterial small subunit ribosomal RNA
Source: RNAcentral
UACAGAGACCUCAAGCGUUAUCCGGAAUCAUUGGGCGUAAAGCGUACCGAUCGGUGGUGCAACAAGUCAGAUGUGAAAUUCCAAGGCUCAACUUUGGAACUGUCAUUUGAAACUGUUACACUAGAGGGGCAAAGAGGAAGCUGGAACGAACGGUGUAGUAGUGAAAUGCGUUGAUAUCGUUCGGAACACCAAUAGCGAAGGCAGGCUUCUGGGUGCCACCUGACACUGCUAGGACGAAAGCGUGGGGAGCGAAUGGG